Molecule: ribosomal RNA, 126 nt
Filed under: uncultured soil bacterium
Lineage: Bacteria
Description: partial 16S ribosomal RNA
Rfam family: Bacterial small subunit ribosomal RNA
Source: RNAcentral
GCCUGAUGGAGCAACGCCGCGUGCAGGAUGAAACCCUUCGGGGCGUAAACUGCUUUUAUAUGUGACGAAUAUGACGGUAGCAUAUGAAUAAGGAUCGGCUAACUCCGUGCCAGCAGCCGCGGUAAU